GGUUAAGUGAAUAAGGG
RNAcentral lists this ribosomal RNA (17 nucleotides) under Enterococcus faecium. RNAcentral describes it as "partial 23S ribosomal RNA". The record is from RNAcentral. Lineage: Bacteria; Bacillati; Bacillota; Bacilli; Lactobacillales; Enterococcaceae.